UCCACGCCGUAAACGAUGAGCACUAGGUGUCGGGGUCGCAAGGCUUCGGUGCCGCAGUUAACGCAUUAAGUGCUCCGCCUGGGGAGUACGCACGCAAGUGUGAAACUCAAAGGAAUUGACGGGGACCCGCACAAGCAGCGGAGCAUGUGGUUUAAUUCGAAGCAACGCGAAGAACCUUACCAGAGCUUGACAUCCCUCUGACCGGUCGGUAAUUCGGCCCUCUCUUCGGAGCAGAGGUGACAGGUGGUGCAUGGUUGUCGUCAGCUCGUGUCGUGAGAUGUUGGGUUAAGUCCCGCAACGAGCGCAACCCUUGUCAUUAGUUGCCAUCAUUUAGUUGGGCACUCUAAUGAGACUGCCGGGGACAACUCGGAGGAAGGUGGGGAUGACGUCAAAUCAUCAUGCCCCUUAUGUUCUGGGCUACA
RNAcentral lists this ribosomal RNA (422 nucleotides) under uncultured bacterium. RNAcentral describes it as "bacterial SSU rRNA". It matches the Rfam family "Bacterial small subunit ribosomal RNA", at positions 794 to 1218 of the family's 1533-position model. The record is from RNAcentral.